UGCAAGUCGAACGGUGAACACGGGAGCUUGCUCUGUGGGAUCAGUGGCGAACGGGUGAGUAACACGUGAGCAACCUGCCCCUGACUCUGGGAUAAGCGCUGGAAACGGCGUCUAAUACUGGAUACGAGUAGCGACCGCAUGGUCAGUUACUGGAAAGAUUUAUUGGUUGGGGAUGGGCUCGCGGCCUAUCAGCUUGUUGGUGAGGUAAUGGCUCACCAAGGCGUCGACGGGUAGCCGGCCUGAGAGGGUGACCGGCCACACUGGGACUGAGACACGGCCCAGACUCCUACGGGAGGCAGCAGUGGGGAAUAUUGCACAAUGGGCGCAAGCCUGAUGCAGCAACGCCGCGUGAGGGAUGACGGCCUUCGGGUUGUAAACCUCUUUUAGCAGGGAAGAAGCGAAAGUGACGGUACCUGCAGAAAAAGCGCCGGCUAACUACGUGCCAGCAGCCGCGGUAAUACGUAGGGCGCAAGCGUUAUCCGGAAUUAUUGGGCGUAAAGAGCUCGUAGGCGGUUUGUCGCGUCUGCUGUGAAAUCCGGAGGCUCAACCUCCGGCCUGCAGUGGGUACGGGCAGACUAGAGUGCGGUAGGGGAGAUUGGAAUUCCUGGUGUAGCGGUGGAAUGCGCAGAUAUCAGGAGGAACACCGAUGGCGAAGGCAGAUCUCUGGGCCGUAACUGACGCUGAGGAGCGAAAGGGUGGGGAGCAAACAGGCUUAGAUACCCUGGUAGUCCACCCCGUAAACGUUGGGAACUAGUUGUGGGGUCCAUUCCACGGAUUCCGUGACGCAGCUAACGCAUUAAGUUCCCCGCCUGGGGAGUACGGCCGCAAGGCUAAAACUCAAAGGAAUUGACGGGGACCCGCACAAGCGGCGGAGCAUGCGGAUUAAUUCGAUGCAACGCGAAGAACCUUACCAAGGCUUGACAUAUACGA
This 930-nucleotide ribosomal RNA is filed under the name Microbacterium phyllosphaerae. Its description in RNAcentral is "bacterial SSU rRNA". It matches the Rfam family "Bacterial small subunit ribosomal RNA", at positions 56 to 993 of the family's 1533-position model. Lineage: Bacteria; Bacillati; Actinomycetota; Actinomycetes; Micrococcales; Microbacteriaceae. The record is from RNAcentral.